CCUACGGGUGGCAGCAGUGGGGAAUAUUGCACAAUGGGGGAAAGCCUGAUGCAGCGACGCCGCGUGAGUGAAGAAGGCAUUCGGUAUGUAAAACUCUAUCAGCAGGGAAGAAAAUGACGGUACCUGAGUAAGAAGCCCCGGCUAACUACGUGCCAGCAGCCGCGGUAAUACGUAGGGGGCAAGCGUUAUCCGGAUUUACUGGGUGUAAAGGGAGCGUAGACGGCAGUGCAAGUCUGGAGUGAAAGGCGGGGGCUCAACCCCAGGACUGCUCUUGAAACUGUACGGCUGGAGUACAGGAGAGGUAAGUGGAAUUCCUAGUGUAGCGGUGAAAUGCGUAGAUAUUAGGAGGAACACCAGUGGCGAAGGCGGCUUACUGGACUGUAACUGACGUUGAGGCUCGAAAGCGUGGGGAGCAAACAGGAUUAGAUACCCGGGUAGUC
This 440-nucleotide ribosomal RNA is filed under the name uncultured bacterium. Its description in RNAcentral is "partial 16S ribosomal RNA". It matches the Rfam family "Bacterial small subunit ribosomal RNA", at positions 338 to 795 of the family's 1533-position model. The record is from RNAcentral.